This 3260-nucleotide long non-coding RNA is filed under the name Homo sapiens (human). RNAcentral's name for it is "non-protein coding DUBR:6". Lineage: Eukaryota; Metazoa; Chordata; Mammalia; Primates; Hominidae. The record is from RNAcentral.
ACCCACGCGGCGCAGCUCCCAAAGUUGCAGACAGCCCGGCGAACCGCGCAAUGCGCUUCUUCUGCCUGCAGCAGAGAAAAGGAAAGAAAACUCCGCAGGGGCUCCGUUGGCUUCUCCACGAGUGACAACCAUGUUUUCCCAGAUAGAAGACCGGAGCCCUGCUCCUUUGCGAUCCGCCGAGGGCUGCAGAGAGCAUCCUCAUCCAUUUGGGCACCCCUGCCCAGGAAGAGCCCGGCCAUCCCUUUCCGGACUGGAUCCUUAAGAGGUGAAUUUUCUUCCGUGGAUUCCGAUUUGCUCCGUCUGACCAGCCUAGGCAAUCCAGCAUCGCGUGGUACCAGUGCCGCUGGGCACACUGGCUUCACGCCGGCUCCGCCUCACCAGCAAGCGCAUUCCCAGGUGGUCAGGCUCAGGAUGGACCAUGAGCUUUCAAAAAGGAAAAAGGUGGAAAUCCUCAACUAUGCUGCCAUCUGAAUAAGUGUUUCUUUGUAGAUGCACAGAGUCAAGGAAAAUUACAUCCCUGCAUUAUGUAAUGUACCAACAACGCACUUACCCACUGUUUUAAUCUAGGUUAUUCUUGAAAGCAGAGCCUGAGACAAAGGUAGACACAUUCUAUUUAUGAGUCUAACACCCAGGAGCAGGAAUGAGAGAUAGGGGAGUGAACUGGGGAAAAGGGAAACUAAGUCCGAGCAAAACCAGAUACUGCUCUUAUCAAGUGGUCCACCCCUAUUAAUGGCUACAUAAUGCAGAACUUUCUCAGGAUUCUUCUUAAACUUUAUCUCAGAACUGUCUGCCUCAGGGAGAAAGGAGAAGUAUUUCUCCAUCAGCAGCCACCUCCUGUGUGUUGAGGGCUGCUCCUUUGGGGCAUUAACCCACUGCCUCCACCACCCCAACCCUCUGGGCUGCAAAGAGCUAGCUGACAGUCCAGCUGGUACCUUAGCAUCACACAUUGCUGCAUCAGAGAGGUCUUAAGACAGGAAGCUAGAGUCUUGGUGCAUGCUCGAAGUGAGACGGUGUCAGCACAGAGCAGGGUAAAAUCUUCCCGUUAACUCUUCACCAGAGCUAUGACUGGAAUCAGAGGUUGAAAAGAUGUGAGACUGUACCCAAGAAGCAUCUUAUAAGCCUACGUAAUAUACUGUUAGACUCAUCGAAAUCUAUUUCCUCCCUUCUUUAUAAUCAAAACUUCAGUGUCCAGAAUAAAGUUGGCAGAAGGGUUAAAUUGGAAAGUUAAAUGUACUAGAAGGUGUACAUUUAUAAGUUUUGACCUUGAGUCGUGUUCAAGGAGAAAGUGACAUUGGAACUUGGAAAAUUUAAAAAUGAUUCUACUUGAAAAAUUUGACCAUUGCAUAGAAAUAUUAGCUAUCGUCUAAUCUUUUGUAAUCUUAGAAACAAUCGUGAAUUGUUUGGUGAAAAAUGAAAAAAUAACCAUUUCUUAUGUCUCCGUGACCUUUAUAGACCAAUGUCACCAACUUUUCCUAAGGUAAUUGUUUCCUACUGUCAAAUAGCUCUAGUGAUAUAAAUCUUAACAAUCAAUGAAGGGAAAACUGGUGGAAACAUAGGAGGAAAAAUACUGGGAUAAUUUUCAUCACAAAGUAUUGGCAUUAACAUUGGUUAGAAUAGGGGAGAAACUGCAUGACUUGACAACUGGACAUUCCUGUAUGUUGUAUGAGGCCCUGUCUUAACAGAAAUAGUGAUGUCAUCAUCAUCCUCUCUUAUUUGGUCUUGAAUUGCCACCAAUCGGAUAAAACCUUUGAAUUAUUUAACUCAAUAUAUGUUAAGUUUCUACUAUGUGCUGUGUAUUGGUACUAUAAAUAUGAAUAAGACAUAAGAUAUUACAUUCAAAAACAUCAGAAUACAUGUUCUUUUAAAGUAUACCCCAAAACAUUUACCAUGUGUUCUGGGGCGCAUGUUAGGCUGGAUCACAAAUCAAGUCUCAAGAAUUUCAAAAGAUUGAAAUCAUAUAGAGUAUGAAUUAAACCAGAAAUCAAGUACAUAAAGGUAACAAAAAAUUUCCAAAAUGCAUUAAUUUAAGGAACAUACACCUCAUGACCCAUGAGCCAAAAAAUAAAUCACGGCAAAAUUGCAAAAAUAUUUUGAAAUGAAUUUUAAAGAAAAUACUUAGCAUAUUAAAUACUUAGCAUAUUAAAGCUCUAAGUACAUAUGUUAGAAAUUUUACCGAAAGGUUGGCUAUCAGUGUUUCCAGAAGCCAGGGAAAAAGUUUAUACAAUUUGAUCGCUGAGGCAGGGAAACAAAGUGAGACCUCCGAUCGCCCUGCCUUUCUGAGGUGAGCACUCUGGAUCCCAUCGCAGGAGAUCAGAGUCUUGCUGAGUUGAGGAGAGGAAGAUUGGAGUUGAUACUGAGAUAGCUUGAAUUUUCAGGACAAAGUAUCAACAAGGAGGAAGGUAGACAAAAAAAUCCAGAAAUCUAUGUAGAGACCCCAUUGUGUACAUUGCGGAACACUAAGCCUAACAAUUCUCAAAAUUAGCGUGAGAUUGGGAAAUAUCUAAUUUCCAUCCAGCCACAGUGGAGAGUCCUGACUGAAAACCAGGCAUUCGCUAAAGAUCCCAGAAAGGUUGUGUGUUACAUACGUAGGGCUAAACUAUCCUGACUAAAAACUACACUACACUUGCUCCUCACCCCCACAAAAAGCUUAAAAACAAGCCUCAAUAGUAUAAAGCUGAUCUGUAAGUAACUAAACUACCUGCAGAACAAAGUCCAAAUUUAUUAGUUCCAGUACUCCAAAAAAAACACAUGUAAAAAAAAAAUAGAUUUACAAGACAUUUAUUUGGGGAAAAAAAGAAUGCCUGAGGGUUGAAAUGGAGAGGAAGCCAGAGAGACAGAGUCCUCAGAAUACAUAAAAUUUCUGGCCUCCAUGGAGGUGUGAUGGUUAAUUUUAUGCAUGUCAACUUCGCUGGGCCACAGGAUGCCCCAUAUAUGAUCGAACAUUAUUUCUGGUUGUGUUCAUGAAGCUUUUUCUGGAGGAAAUUCGCAUUUGAAUUGAUGGACUGAAUAAAGCAGAUUGCAGUCCCCAGUGUGGAUGGGCUUGAUCCAGUCUUCUAAGGACCCAAAUAAAAUAGGUGGAGGAAGCUUGAAUUUUCUGCCUGACUGUGGCGCUGGGACACCCAUCUUCUCCUGCCCUUGAACUGGGACUGACACCAUCAGUGCUCCUGGUUCUCAGACCUUCGGACAGCAGACUUGGGGCCUUCUCGGCCUCCAUUAUUGUGUAAGCCAAUUCCUUAUAAUAAAUAAGGGUUUAUUUAUUG